This 243-nucleotide ribosomal RNA is filed under the name Triticum aestivum (bread wheat). Its description in RNAcentral is "partial small subunit ribosomal RNA". Lineage: Eukaryota; Viridiplantae; Streptophyta; Magnoliopsida; Poales; Poaceae. The record is from RNAcentral.
AUGUUCUAUCGUAUAGGUAUCUUACCCCCACAUAUUAGUGAUACAAAUAUUGUUCUCAUUCCUAAAAGGCUGGUUCCUCAAGUUCCUACUGACUAUAGACCCAUUAGCCUUUGUAAUGUCAUCUAUGAAAUUAUUGCUAAAUCUUUGGCUAAUAGGCUCAAACCUCACUUGCCUGAUUAUAUUGAUCCCUCUCAGCAAGCUUUUAUCGAAGGGCGUAGAAUUAGUGAUAACAUUAUAAUUGUG